CUUUCAAGUCAGGAGUGAAAGGCUACGGCUCAACCGUAGUAAGCUCUUGAAACUGGGAGACUUGAGUGCAGGAGAGGAGAGUGGAAUUCCUAGUGUAGCGGUGAAAUGCGUAGAUAUUAGGAGGAACACCAGUUGCGAAGGCGGCUCUCUGGACUGUAACUGACGCUGAGGCACGAAAGCGUGGGGAGCAAACAGGAUUAGAUACCCUGGUAGUCCACGCUGUAAACGAUGAGUACUAGGUGUCGGGGGUUACCCCC
Molecule: ribosomal RNA, 257 nt
Filed under: Clostridioides difficile
Lineage: Bacteria; Bacillati; Bacillota; Clostridia; Peptostreptococcales; Peptostreptococcaceae
Description: partial 16S ribosomal RNA
Rfam family: Bacterial small subunit ribosomal RNA
Source: RNAcentral